Molecule: ribosomal RNA, 345 nt
Filed under: Triticum aestivum (bread wheat)
Lineage: Eukaryota; Viridiplantae; Streptophyta; Magnoliopsida; Poales; Poaceae
Description: partial small subunit ribosomal RNA
Source: RNAcentral
AUGGUGUGGAAAAUAUGGCUGAAGUCUAAAUACUUAAGUUUUGUUGUUUUCAGAGCUUUAACACUGGAUCUGUUUCGGAUCGGUGCCACUGACGUGUGCUUUAAUUAUCAGCUUCCUUCUUGGAAGUGUUCCAUUGAGGCUCCGAUGCUCCGGUGGGAACGACACACACUCCUCGCUGCAUCUUGUAUCCUAUUUGUGAGGGCUAUCGUGGUCCAAUUACCUUUCUUUGCACAUAUGCAGGCACUCGGCACAGUACACAUCUUCAGUAGCACUAGAAAUUCAUACUUAUUUACUUGGCUUCCUUCGUCAGUGUUUGAUGAUUCAUUUUGCAGCGACAUGUUCUGA